CUACGUGCCAGCAGCCGCGGUAAUACGGAGGGUGCGAGCGUUAAUCGGAAUAACUGGGCGUAAAGGGCACGCAGGCGGGCUUUUAAGUGAGGUGUGAAAUCCCCGGGCUUAACCUGGGAAUUGCAUUUCAGACUGGGAGUCUAGAGUACUUUAGGGAGGGGUAGAAUUCCACGUGUAGCGGUGAAAUGCGUAGAGAUGUGGAGGAAUACCGAAGGCGAAGGCAGCCCCUUGGGAAUGUACUGACGCUCAUGUGCGAAAGCGUGGGGAGCAAACAGGAUUAGAUACCCUGGUAGUCCACGCUGUAAACGCUGUCGAUUUGGGGAUUGAGCUUAAAGCUUGGUGCCCGAAGCUAACGUGAUAAAUCGACCGCCUGGGGAGUACGGCCGCAAGGUUAAAACUCAAAUGAAUUGACGGGGGCCCGCACAAGCGGUGGAGCAUGUGGUUUAAUUCGAUGCAACGCGAAGAACCUUACCUACUCUUGACAUCCAGA
Molecule: ribosomal RNA, 490 nt
Filed under: uncultured bacterium
Lineage: Bacteria
Description: bacterial SSU rRNA
Rfam family: Bacterial small subunit ribosomal RNA
Source: RNAcentral